GGGUCUAUGAUAAAAAACCAAUGUCAUGAGAAGAGCUGAUGACAUAAAAAUCAUGCUCAAUAGGAUUAUGCUGAGACAC
Molecule: small nucleolar RNA, 79 nt
Organism: Mesocricetus auratus (golden hamster)
Lineage: Eukaryota; Metazoa; Chordata; Mammalia; Rodentia; Cricetidae
Gene: SNORD115
Rfam family: Small nucleolar RNA SNORD115
About the family: HBII-52 is a member of the C/D class of snoRNAs, which contain the C (UGAUGA) and D (CUGA) box motifs.
Source: Ensembl